CAGAGAUGCUUUGGUGCCUUCGGGAACUCUGAGACAGGUGCUGCAUGGCUGUCGUCAGCUCGUGUUGUGAAAUGUUGGGUUAAGUCCCGCAACGAGCGCAACCCUUAUCCUUUGUUGCCAGCGGUUCGGCCGGGAACUCAAAGGAGACUGCCAGUGAUAAACUGGAGGAAGGUGGGGAUGACGUCAAGUCAUCAUGGCCCUUACGAGUAGGGCUACACACGUGCUACAAUGGCGCAUACAAAGAGAAGCGACCUCGCGAGAGCAAGCGGACCUCAUAAAGUGCGUCGUAGUCCGGAUUGGAGUCUGCAACUCGACUCCAUGAAGUCGGAAUCGCUAGUAAUCGUAGAUCAGAAUGCUACGGUGAAUACGUUCCCGGGUCUU
This 381-nucleotide ribosomal RNA is filed under the name Leclercia sp. SB22. RNAcentral describes it as "bacterial SSU rRNA". It matches the Rfam family "Bacterial small subunit ribosomal RNA", at positions 1001 to 1382 of the family's 1533-position model. The record is from RNAcentral. Lineage: Bacteria; Pseudomonadati; Pseudomonadota; Gammaproteobacteria; Enterobacterales; Enterobacteriaceae.